GAUGAACGCUGGCGGCGUGCCUAAUACAUGCAAGUCGAGCGAACAGACGAGGAGCUUGCUCCUCUGACGUUAGCGGCGGACGGGUGAGUAACACGUGGAUAACCUACCUAUAAGACUGGGAUAACUUCGGGAAACCGGAGCUAAUACCGGAUAAUAUAUUGAACCGCAUGGUUCAAUAGUGAAAGACGGUUUUGCUGUCACUUAUAGAUGGAUCCGCGCCGCAUUAGCUAGUUGGUAAGGUAACGGCUUACCAAGGCGACGAUGCGUAGCCGACCUGAGAGGGUGAUCGGCCAAACUGGAACUGAGACACGGUCCAGAGUCCUACGGGAGGCAGCAGUAGGGAAUCUUCCGCAAUGGGCGAAAGCCUGACGGAGCAACGCCGCGUGAGUGAUGAAGGUCUUCGGAUCGUAAAACUCUGUUAUUAGGGAAGAACAAAUGUGUAAGUAACUAUGCACGUCUUGACGGUACCUAAUCAGAAAGCCACGGCUAACUACGUG
This 497-nucleotide ribosomal RNA is filed under the name uncultured bacterium. RNAcentral describes it as "partial 16S ribosomal RNA". It matches the Rfam family "Bacterial small subunit ribosomal RNA", at positions 28 to 507 of the family's 1533-position model. The record is from RNAcentral.